Molecule: small RNA, 124 nt
Filed under: Marmota monax (woodchuck)
Lineage: Eukaryota; Metazoa; Chordata; Mammalia; Rodentia; Sciuridae
Source: RNAcentral
GGGCGUGGUGGCCCACGCCUGUAACCCCAGUGACUUGGGAGGCUGAGGCAGGAGGAUCACAAGGUGGAGGCCAGCCUCAGCAACGUAGCAAGGCCCUCAGCCACUCAGGGAGACCCUGCCUCUA